Molecule: long non-coding RNA, 131 nt
Organism: Etheostoma cragini (Arkansas darter)
Lineage: Eukaryota; Metazoa; Chordata; Actinopteri; Perciformes; Percidae
Exons: 3
Source: RefSeq, a predicted model, not a curated record
AACUUUCCCUCUCUAGCGUUUCGCUUAGUACGGCGCCAUAGCAACCAUAAACACCAGUGGCUCUAGCCGUUUGCUGCUUCCUGUUUGGUGCUGGAGGGAGCACACCCAUUGGUUCUUGGCAACGUUCAUGU